Molecule: ribosomal RNA, 794 nt
Filed under: uncultured archaeon
Lineage: Archaea
Description: bacterial SSU rRNA
Rfam family: Archaeal small subunit ribosomal RNA
Source: RNAcentral
ACGGCUCAGUAACACGUGGACAACCUACCCUCAGAUCUGGGAUAAACCUGGGAAACUGGGUAUAAUACCGGAUAGGUCUUGGAUGCUGGAAUGCACCGAGGCCCAAAGCUCCGGCGUCUGAGGAUGGGUCUGCGGCCUAUCAGGGUAGUAGUGGGUGUAAAGUACCUACUAGCCUACGACGGGUACGGGUCGUGAGAGCGAGAGCCCGGAGAUGGAUUCUGAGACACGAAUCCAGGCCCUACGGGGUGCAGCAGGCGCGGAAACUUUACAAUGCCGGCAACGGCGAUAAGGGGACCUCGAGUGCCAGGAUACAAUCCUGGCUGUCGUAAUGCCUAAAAAGCAUUAUAUAGCAAGGGCCGGGCAAGACCGGUGCCAGCCGCCGCGGUAACACCGGCGGCUCGAGUGGUAACCGCUAUUAUUGGGUCUAAAGGGUCUGUAGCCGGCCUGGUAAGUCUUUUGGGAAAUCCGGCAGCUCAACUGUCGGGCUAUCAGAGGAUACUGCUAGGCUCGAGACCGGGAGAGGUGAGAGGUACUUCAUGGGUAGGGGUGAAAUCUUGUAAUCCUUGAAGGACCACCAGUGGCGAAGGCGUCUCACCAGAACGGAUCUGACGGCAAGGGACGAAAGCUAGGGGCACGAACCGGAUUAGAUACCCGGGUAGUCCUAGCCGUAAACGAUACUCGCUAGGUGUCGGCCACGGUGCGACCGUGGUCGGUGCCGUAGGGAAGCCGUGAAGCGAGCCACCUGGGAAGUACGGCCGCAAGGCUGAAACUUAAAGGAAUUGGCGGGGGAGCAC